Molecule: long non-coding RNA, 225 nt
Filed under: Elaeis guineensis (African oil palm)
Lineage: Eukaryota; Viridiplantae; Streptophyta; Magnoliopsida; Arecales; Arecaceae
Description: long non-coding RNA (EGUI_LNC008770)
Source: RNAcentral
CGUUGGCCUGAUGACAGGGGGUGGGAUCCUACAGUGGUGACUCAAUUGUUUGGUGGGCAGCUAAGUGAGUGGGUGCUAUCCCUUGCGACCCCUAUCAACACCAAUCCGGACAUCAGAGCUUGGGGUCACUCGUAUAUCUCGAGGGUUGCAAUAGCUAAUCCAUACCAGAUUUAUCGGAGGGAGGCUAAUAGACACAUAGACCUGGGCUAGAUUUGGAGGAUGGUA